Molecule: long non-coding RNA, 835 nt
Organism: Girardinichthys multiradiatus
Lineage: Eukaryota; Metazoa; Chordata; Actinopteri; Cyprinodontiformes; Goodeidae
Exons: 2
Source: RefSeq, a predicted model, not a curated record
UCUCAUAUUUAUACCUAGAAAAAAAGAAUAAUAUCAGGUAUCUGUCAGGCCACAGAGCUGUGUGCAGGUUUGUCUUGCUAUGUGAGUCUUGCUUCUCCUUUCCAAUAUUCAGGGUGAUGUGCUGUUUAAUUUUUUCCACCCAUUUUGCAUGUGAGCCAAAUUUUAAACUUUGUUUUAAUUUUGACCAGAACACAUUCCACAUGUUUGUGUCAGGAUCUGGGUUGUGUUUGUGCUUGCCACAUGUGUUUUGUUUCAGACUGUGCUGGAGCACAGGUGCGACUUGUUCACUGAUUACUAGGAGGAGUACUUAAGCAGGAGGCUGCCAGCACUUCAAUGUGAGAGUGUUUUGCCACCAGUGGUACAAACUCGAGCCACAUUCAAGUUUAUGCCUCGUACUUCGACCUUCGUUUAACUUUGUUUUUGCUCCUCUGCAGAUUUUGAGAACCUAAGCUUUGGAUCCAUGUCACUGAGUUUCUGGACUUUGUUUCUGGAAGUUAUUCUGGAUGAUCAAGCCUAUCUUCAUUCUGAGGAUUCCUAACCUAUCAUCUGCCUUUGUUUGGAUUCGUAUCAAGCUGGCAGCUUCCUGUCCUCUCCUGAGCCAAGCCACAAGCAUACCCUGUCCACCUUCCAACGUAAACCACCGCACAUUGUACUUGUUUCUUUGUUCCGAGCUCACACAGAACAGCACCAAGUGAACUCUCUAUGGAUAUCCCGUUUAAGACCUGGAUCCUGAGUCUCAUUCCCCCGGCGACCUGACCACCAUAACACAUGAGAUUUUCGUCCGUUUCGUUCCUGAUUACAUCACCAAUAAAACAGUCUUUAUUGUACUUCCUUA